GUCAGGAAGAGGAAUAAAAUGAGCAUCUAGGAGCAUUGAGCAUGGGAACAUGGAGGAAGACCUAAACUAGUGUCCCACUACAACUAGGGUCCAACAUUUGUUUCGUAAUUUUCCUGAUGCCUCCCAUGCAUAUUGUUCUUAGGUGCUCCUUCCUCCCCCUUAUGAUU
This 167-nucleotide microRNA precursor is filed under the name Hordeum vulgare. RNAcentral's name for it is "microRNA MIR2118". It matches the Rfam family "MIR2118 microRNA precursor family". The record is from RNAcentral. Lineage: Eukaryota; Viridiplantae; Streptophyta; Magnoliopsida; Poales; Poaceae.